Molecule: ribosomal RNA, 447 nt
Filed under: Porphyra purpurea
Lineage: Eukaryota; Rhodophyta; Bangiophyceae; Bangiales; Bangiaceae
Description: SSU rRNA
Rfam family: Eukaryotic small subunit ribosomal RNA
Source: RNAcentral
GCCAGUAUAAAGCCAUGCAUGUCUAAGUAUAAACACCUCGUUUUCUUUUUUGUACUCGUGAAACUGSGRAUGGCUCAUUAAACCAGUUAUAGUUUCUUUGAACGUGCCUUAYUACUUGGAUAACCGUAGUAAUUCUAGAGCUAAUACAUGCCUACACGCCCGACUCACGAAGGGUGGUAUUUAUUAGAUAAAAAACCUUCGCACAGUGACCUGUGUGUUAGAUGAUUCAUAAUAACUCUCGGAUCGCAUGGCCUARARCCGGCGACGGUUCAUUCAAAUUUCUGCCCUAUCAACUUUCGAUGGUAGARUARUGGUCUACCAUGGUGUCAACGGGUAACGGGGAAUUAGGGUUCGAUUCCGGAGAGGGAGCCUGAGAAACGGCUACCACAUCCAAGGAAGGCAGCAGGCGCGCAAAUUACCCAAUCCCAACACGGGGAGUAGUGACAA